CAGUCGCCGCGGGAAUACGUAGGUGGCAAGCGUUGUCCGGAAUUAUUGGGCGUAAAGGGCUCGCAGGCGGUUUCUUAAGUCUGAUGUGAAAGCCCCCGGCUCAACCGGGGAGGGUCAUUGGAAACUGGGAAACUUGAGUGCAGAAGAGGAGAGUGGAAUUCCACGUGUAGCGGUGAAAUGCGUAGAGAUGUGGAGGAACACCAGUGGCGAAGGCGACGCUCUGGUCUGUAACUGACGCUGAGGAGCGAAAGCGUGGGGAGCGAACAGGAUUAGAUACCCGAGUAGUCCCUGUCUCUUAUAC
This 301-nucleotide ribosomal RNA is filed under the name uncultured bacterium. RNAcentral describes it as "partial 16S ribosomal RNA". It matches the Rfam family "Bacterial small subunit ribosomal RNA", at positions 509 to 807 of the family's 1533-position model. The record is from RNAcentral.